Molecule: ribosomal RNA, 372 nt
Filed under: uncultured bacterium
Lineage: Bacteria
Description: bacterial SSU rRNA
Rfam family: Bacterial small subunit ribosomal RNA
Source: RNAcentral
UACGGAGGAUGCAAGCGUUAUCCGGAUUUAUUAGGUAUAAAGGGUGCGUAGGCGGACCUGUUAGUCAGUGGUGAAAUACUGCGGCUUAACCGUAGAACUGCCAUUGAUACUGCAGGUCUUGAGUACAGUUGAGGUAGGCGGAAUGUGUGGUGUAGCGGUGAAAUGCUUAGAUAUCACACAGAACACCGAUUGCGAAGGCAGCUUACUAAGUUGUAACUGACGCUGAUGCACGAAAGCAUGGGGAGCAAACAGGAUUAGAUACCCUGGUAGUCCAUGCCGUAAACGAUGAUCACUCGCUGUAUGUCCAUUAGGAUAUGUGGCUGAGCUAACGCAUUAAGUGAUCCACCUGGGGAGUACGGCGGCAACGCUGAA